RNAcentral lists this ribosomal RNA (496 nucleotides) under uncultured bacterium. RNAcentral's name for it is "partial 16S ribosomal RNA". It matches the Rfam family "Bacterial small subunit ribosomal RNA", at positions 28 to 506 of the family's 1533-position model. The record is from RNAcentral.
GAUGAACGCUGGCGGCGUGCCUAAUACAUGCAAGUCGAGCGAACGGACGAGAAGCUUGCUUCUCUGAUGUUAGCGGCGGACGGGUGAGUAACACGUGGAUAACCUACCUAUAAGACUGGGAUAACUUCGGGAAACCGGAGCUAAUACCGGAUGAUAUUUUGAACCGCAUGGUUCAAAAGUGAAAGACGGUCUUGCUGUCACUUAUAGAUGGAUCCGCGCUGCAUUAGCUAGUUGGUAAGGUAACGGCUUACCAAGGCAACGAUGCAUAGCCGACCUGAGAGGGGAGACGGCCCACCGGAACAGGAGCACCGGCCCAGAACCCACCGGGGGGCAGGGUUGGGGAACUUUCCGAAAUGGGCGAAAGCCUGACGGAGCAACGCCGGGUGGGUGAUGAAGUUUUUCGGAUCGUAAAACCUUUUUUUUAGGGAAGAAAAAUUUUGUAAGUAACUGGGACAAUUUGGACGGUACCAAAACAAAAAGCCCCGGCUAACUCCGU